AGCUUUGUGCAGUGGCAGUAUCGUAGCCAAUGAGGUUUAUCCGAGGUGCGAUUAUUGCUAAUUGAAAAAUUUUUCUGGAAACUUCCUUUAUCUCUAAACCACGCCCCCCCCCAUUAGUUUUGGCAAUCAUUCCCCAAGCAUAUAGCCCACUGAUUUAUAUGGGAAGACUGUCAUGACUUAAGUU
Neogale vison (American mink) is the source of this 184-nucleotide small nuclear RNA. Its record names the gene U4. It matches the Rfam family "U4 spliceosomal RNA". From Rfam's summary of the family: U4 small nuclear RNA (U4 snRNA) is a component of the major U2-dependent spliceosome. The structure of U4 snRNA from yeast and human has been reported. Lineage: Eukaryota; Metazoa; Chordata; Mammalia; Carnivora; Mustelidae. The record is from Ensembl.